AGGAUGAACGCUGGCGGCGUGCUUAAUACAUGCAAGUCGAGCGGUAAGGCCCCUUCGGGGGUACACGAGCGGCGGACGGCUGAGUAACGCGUGGGAACGUACCCCAAAGUGAGGGAUAAGCACCAGAAAUGGUGUCUAAUACCGCAUGUGCUCUAAGGAGUAAAGCUCCGGCGCUUUGGGAACGGCCUGCGUUCGAUUAGCUUGUUGGUGAGGUAAUGGCUCACCAAGGCGACGAUCGAUAGCUGGUCUGAGAGGAUGACCAGCCAGACUGGGACUGAGAACGGCCCAGACUCCUACGGGAGGCAGCAGUAGGGAAUUUUCCACAAUGGACGAAAGUCUGAUGGAGCAACGCCGCGUGCAGGAUGAAGGCCUUAGGGUUGUAAACUGCUUUUAUGUAUGAAGAUUAUGACGGUAGUACAUGAAUAAGGAUCGGCUAACUCCGUGCCAGCAGCCGC
Molecule: ribosomal RNA, 455 nt
Filed under: uncultured bacterium
Lineage: Bacteria
Description: SSU rRNA
Rfam family: Bacterial small subunit ribosomal RNA
Source: RNAcentral